This 465-nucleotide ribosomal RNA is filed under the name uncultured bacterium. RNAcentral describes it as "partial 16S ribosomal RNA". It matches the Rfam family "Bacterial small subunit ribosomal RNA", at positions 28 to 507 of the family's 1533-position model. The record is from RNAcentral.
GACGAACGCUGGCGGCGUGCUUAACACAUGCAAGUCGAACGGAAAGGCCCCUUCGGGGGUACUCGAGUGGCGAACAGGUGAGUAACACGUGAGUAACCUGCCCUUGACUUCGGGAUAACUUCAGGAAACUGGGGCUAAUACCGGAUAGGAAUCCUUGCUGCAUGGUGGGGGUUGGAAAGCUUCGGCGGUUUUGGAUGGACUCGCGGCUUAUCAGCUUGUUGGUGGGGUAGUGGCUUACCAAGGCUUUGACGGGUAGCCGGCCUGAGAGGGCGACCGGCCACAUUGGGACUGAGAUACGGCCCAGACUCCUACGGGAGGCAGCAGUGGGGAAUAUUGCACAAUGGGCGGAAGCCUGAUGCAGCAACGUCGCGUGCGGGAUGACGGCCUUCGGGUUGUAAACCGCUUUCAGCAGGGGCGAAGCUUGUGGUGACGGUACCUGCAGAAGAAGCACCGGCUAACUACGUG